Myotis brandtii (Brandt's bat) is the source of this 74-nucleotide non-coding RNA. The record is from Rfam. NCBI's taxonomy places the organism in Eukaryota, Metazoa, Chordata, Mammalia, Chiroptera, Vespertilionidae.
CAUGGGGGGGGUUGGUCCCUCAGCCUGGAUUGUAAAAGGGCACAAGCCAGGCCGAGGGACCCCACUGAUGCACA